Molecule: ribosomal RNA, 460 nt
Filed under: uncultured bacterium
Lineage: Bacteria
Description: partial 16S ribosomal RNA
Rfam family: Bacterial small subunit ribosomal RNA
Source: RNAcentral
CCUACGGGGUGCAGCAGUGAGGAAUAUUGGUCAAUGGCCGUAAGGCUGAACCAGCCAAGUCGCGUGAAGGAAGAAGGAUCUAUGGUUUGUAAACUUCUUUUAUAGGGGAAUAAAGGUAUCCACGUGUGGAUAUUUGCAUGUACCCUAUGAAUAAGCAUCGGCUAACUCCGUGCCAGCAGCCGCGGUAAUACGGAGGAUGCGAGCGUUAUCCGGAUUUAUUGGGUUUAAAGGGUGCGUAGGUUGUUUUUUAAGUCAGCGGUGAAAGUUUGUGGCUCAACCAUAAAAUUGCCGUUGAAACUGGAAGACUUGAGUGUGUUUGAGGUAGGCGGAAUGCGUGGUGUAGCGGUGAAAUGCAUAGAUAUCACGAAGAACCCCGAUUGCGAAGGCAGCUUACUAAACUGUGACUGACAUUGAUGCUCGAAAGUGUGGGUAUCAAACAGGAUUAGAUACCCGUGUAGUC